CAUUAUUGAAAUAAACCUGAUGAGUUGCUGCUGGUUCUCUUUGGAACAAUGUGCACACUUGUCAUCUUUAUAUCUCCACCUGUGCACCUUUUGUAGACCUGGAUAUUUCUCUCAGUGCUAGCCACUCAGGUUUGAGGAUUGACUUUAUGUCUCUCCUUACAUUUCCAGGCCUAUGUUUCUUCAUAUACCCAAUGUAUGUCUUAGAAUGUAAUCAAAUGGGCCUUUGUGCCUAUAAACCUAUACAACUUUCAGCAACGGAUCUCUUGGCUCUCGCAUCGAUGAAGAACGCAGCGAAAUGCGAUAAGUAAUGUGAAUUGCAGAAUUCAGUGAAUCAUCGAAUCUUUGAACGCACCUUGCGCUCCUUGGUAUUCCGAGGAGCAUGCCUGUUUGAGUGUCAUUAAUAUAUCAACCUCUUCAACUUUUGAAAAGUUUAUUGAGCGUUGGAUAUGGGGGGUUUUGUUUGCUGGUUCUUAUUACAAAGAUCAGCUCCCCUGAAAUGUAUUAGCGGAACAUUUUGUGGACCGUUCAUUGGCGUGAUAACUAUCUACGCUAUUGACGUGAAACAGUUCAGCUUCUAACAGUCCAUUGACUUGGACAAAAUUUUAUUAAUGUGACCUCAAAU
Molecule: ribosomal RNA, 622 nt
Filed under: Phlegmacium caerulescens
Lineage: Eukaryota; Fungi; Basidiomycota; Agaricomycetes; Agaricales; Cortinariaceae
Description: eukaryotic LSU rRNA
Rfam family: 5.8S ribosomal RNA (bases 244-397)
Source: RNAcentral